Molecule: microRNA precursor, 204 nt
Organism: Oryza rufipogon (brownbeard rice)
Lineage: Eukaryota; Viridiplantae; Streptophyta; Magnoliopsida; Poales; Poaceae
Rfam family: MIR812 microRNA precursor family
Source: Rfam
AAAAAGACAAACCCUGGUUUCCGUAUCCAACGUUUGACUGUCCGUCUUAUAUAGAUUUUUUUAUAAUUAGUAUUUUUAUUAUUGUUAAAUGAUAAAACAUGAUUAAUGCUUUAUGCAUGGCUUGUUUUUUUAUCUUUUUCAUAAUUUUUUCAAAUAAGACGGACGGUCGAACGUUUGACAUGAAAAUCUAGGGUUUGUCUUNNN